RNAcentral lists this ribosomal RNA (253 nucleotides) under uncultured bacterium. Its description in RNAcentral is "partial 16S ribosomal RNA". It matches the Rfam family "Bacterial small subunit ribosomal RNA", at positions 524 to 776 of the family's 1533-position model. The record is from RNAcentral.
UACGUAGGGUGCGAGCGUUAAUCGGAAUUACUGGGCGUAAAGCGUGCGCAGGCGGUUUUGUAAGCCAGAUGUGAAAGCCCCGGGCUUAACCUGGGAAUGGCAUUUGGGACUGCAAGGCUUGAGUGCGGCAGAGGAGACUGGAAUUCCUGGUGUAGCAGUGAAAUGCGUAGAUAUCGGAAGGAACACCAGUGGCGAAAGCGGCUUCCUGGUCCAGCAUCGACGUUCAGGCACGAAAGCGUGGGGAGCAAACAGG